This 447-nucleotide ribosomal RNA is filed under the name uncultured bacterium. RNAcentral's name for it is "bacterial SSU rRNA". It matches the Rfam family "Bacterial small subunit ribosomal RNA", at positions 328 to 792 of the family's 1533-position model. The record is from RNAcentral.
GCACCAGACUCCUACGGGAGGCAGCAGUGGGGAAUAUUGCACAAUGGGGGAAACCCUGAUGCAGCGACGCCGCGUGAGUGAAGAAGUAUUUCGGUAUGUAAAGCUCUAUCAGCAGGGAAGAAAAUGACGGUACCUGAUUAAGAAGCCCCGGCUAACUACGUGCCAGCAGCCGCGGUAAUACGUAGGGGGCAAGCGUUAUCCGGAUUUACUGGGUGUAAAGGGAGCGUAGACGGUGAUGCAAGUCAGAAGUGAAAGCCCGGGGCUCAACUCCGGGACUGCUUUUGAAACUGUGUGACUGGAGUGCAGGAGAGGUAAGCGGAAUUCCUGGUGUAGCGGUGAAAUGCGUAGAUAUCAGGAGGAACACCAGUGGCGAAGGCGGCUUGCUGGACUGUAACUGACGUUGAGGCUCGAAAGCGUGGGGAGUAAACAGGAUUAGAUACCCUUGUA